Molecule: ribosomal RNA, 497 nt
Filed under: uncultured bacterium
Lineage: Bacteria
Description: partial 16S ribosomal RNA
Rfam family: Bacterial small subunit ribosomal RNA
Source: RNAcentral
GACGAACGCUGGCGGCGUGCCUAAUACAUGCAAGUUGAGCGCUGAAGGUUGGUACUUGUACCAACUGGAUGAGCAGCGAACGGGUGAGUAACGCGUGGGGAAUCUGCCUUUGAGCGGGGGACAACAUUUGGAAACGAAUGCUAAUACCGCAUAAAAACUUUAAACACAAGUUUUAAGGUUGAAAGAUGCAAUUGCAUCACUCAAAGAUGAUCCCGCGUUGUAUUAGCUAGUUGGUGAGGUAAAGGCUCACCAAGGCGAUGAUACAUAGCCGACCUGAGAGGGUGAUCGGCCACAUUGGGACUGAGACACGGCACAAACUCCUACGGGAGGCAGCAGUAGGGAAUCUUCGGCAAUGGACGAAAGUCUGACCGAGCAACGCCGCGUGAGUGAAGAAGGUUGUCGGAUCGUAAAACUCUGUUGGUAGAGAAGAACGUUGGUGAGAGUGGAAAGCUCAUCAAGUGACGGUAACUACCCAGAAAGGGACGGCUAACUACGUG